This is a small nuclear RNA of Chanos chanos (milkfish), 168 nucleotides long. RefSeq annotates it as U1 spliceosomal RNA. The transcript has a single exon. The record is from RefSeq and is a predicted model, not a curated record. Lineage: Eukaryota; Metazoa; Chordata; Actinopteri; Gonorynchiformes; Chanidae.
AUACAAACUGCAAAAAAAACAAGAAGAAAUGCCAUAGAUAGACAGUAAACAUAUAACGGUAAACCAUUCUCCUCACUCCUUCUAGCUGAUCUCUGCUAGUUCCCCAAAUGCGGGAAUCUCGACUGCAUAAUUUGUGGCAGUGGGGGACUGUGUUCGUGCUCUCCCCUG